Molecule: transfer RNA, 72 nt
Filed under: Candidatus Melainabacteria bacterium RIFCSPLOWO2_02_FULL_35_15
Lineage: Bacteria; Bacillati; Candidatus Melainabacteria
Also listed under: 1 other name
Description: tRNA-Val
Rfam family: tRNA
About the family: Transfer RNA (tRNA) molecules are approximately 80 nucleotides in length.
Source: RNAcentral
GGGCAGUUGGCUCAGUGGUAGAGCACCUCGUUUACACCGAGGGGGUCAGGGGUUCAAAUCCCUUACUGCCCA